AAAGUCGUAACAAGGUCUCCGUUGGUGAACCAGCGGAGGGAUCAUUAUAGAGUCGCAAGACCCUACACCAUUGCGAACGCACCCUACGCCGUUGCCUCGGCGGGAGGUGGCCCCCCACGGGGGCUCCCCCCCGCCGGCAGCAUGCCAAACUCUGUAUUUGUGGGCCUCUCUGAGUAACAAAGACAAUAAGUCAAAACUUUCAACAACGGAUCUCUUGGUUCUG
RNAcentral lists this unclassified non-coding RNA (223 nucleotides) under Ascomycota sp. RNAcentral's name for it is "partial contains small subunit ribosomal RNA, internal transcribed spacer 1, and 5.8S ribosomal RNA". The stretch from base 1 to 47 matches the Rfam family "Eukaryotic small subunit ribosomal RNA", at positions 1785 to 1831 of the family's 1831-position model. The record is from RNAcentral. Lineage: Eukaryota; Fungi; Ascomycota.